CCCAAGUAUGGAAGCCAUGAGAUAUUGGUGCUUUACUGGGUGUCAUCGACUUUGAAAUUGUCAGUUACUUUAGAAAUGAGGGACUUUCGCUACUAAAGAUACAGGGAAUAAUAAGAUGUGCUCUGACAAACCUUGUAACCAUUUAGACUCUUCAUACUGCUUUCAGGUAAAGUUUUUGGAAACCAAUCGCCUUUAAGCCCGGUUAUCAAUGGCCACAUAAUUCCCCAAGAGAGAACAGCACCAAGAAGCAAAGACAAAUUCACAAGAUGUGAACAGAUCAUUCCCGCACCGAUAUAAGUCAUACUGAAAUCAAAGUAAAAUCUGCAAAAUUCAAUUUCUUUAAUCAAUAAUGAUGAAAGGAUUAUUCACAGCCAAGACAAUAAGGAGCAACAUAUUGAGUACGAACGAAUUUUUCCAAGCUUUCAGUCCAAACGUAGGAAAUUGAACAAAUCCGCAUUGCUCUCCUCCUGCAUAGAACCACUGAAAGAAAGCCCACAGGAAACUAAGAGAAAAGAAUUUCGUGA
Molecule: long non-coding RNA, 524 nt
Filed under: Citrus sinensis (sweet orange)
Lineage: Eukaryota; Viridiplantae; Streptophyta; Magnoliopsida; Sapindales; Rutaceae
Description: long non-coding RNA (CSIN_LNC004321)
Source: RNAcentral